This 1726-nucleotide long non-coding RNA is filed under the name Sus scrofa (pig). RNAcentral describes it as "lncRNA (ENSSSCG00015069105.1)". The record is from RNAcentral. Lineage: Eukaryota; Metazoa; Chordata; Mammalia; Artiodactyla; Suidae.
GGUUUUUGUCUGGGCUGAUAGUUGUGUGGUAGUAAUACAGAGAGUGUAUUAUAUCAAACACUGCACUUUUCUAUAUUUUCCUGGUUGUGGGUUAUAGUUCAUUAUUAAAGUUUUUUAAGAUGCAAAAUAAAUUGUCUUUUCUGUCUGGGAUGGUUUAUCCUUGUCCUGCCGAGCUUUAGGUCGAGAGAUUCCUUGUGAUUAUCUUAUAAUCACUAGGAGUAAACUACUGCCUCCCUACCUGCCUCCAAAGUAGGAUAUGCAUGCACCCCACGGGGCUCUUGGGAGGAUUCAUUUGUUUGAGAAAGAAAUUGAUGGGAACCUAUAUUUCCAUUCAUUUUUCUUAUCAUGAAACCUUAUGGUAAAGAUGGGAACCAUAUUGACACUGGCAUCAUCCUGGGUCCAUGUGCCAGGUGGGUGGGCAUCAUCUGGACGGAGAGAGGUGAGGCCUCCCCUUGGCAGUGGCUUCCCCUCUGGCUCCCCUGCUUGGGUUAUGAAAUAUAUCAUGAAAUACAUGAAAUACGUCAUGCCUAGUUAACUGGAUUGACAACUUCUAUGUUUUAGUUUUAACAACCCCUCACACACCAACAGAAUCUUGAAAAGACUCUGCAAAGAAUUCCCAUAAAGUGAAUAUAAUUUUAAUAUUGCCAGCAACAAGGAAAUGACAAAACUUAGCAUGAACCCUGGUGGCCCCAUUAGGAGGACAUGACAGUGAUCAUUGGAUCUAAUCUAGCAAGAAGCUGGCCGCCAAAAUUCUAAAUUAUCUGGAAAACAUAUAAAUUUGUAUCCACUAUGGUUAAUUAAUCAUGAACAUGGGUGCAUUUGUCUGGAGACAUCCUGGUUAGCAAAACCAUCAAUUCUGUCAUUCUUCUUUUCUCUUGGGUUUGUUUGGAAGGGUAUAUAACAUGUUCGUACAGUAAUACAGGUCUAUGAGUUGCACACAAACAGCCAAGCAUGUUUGGUGGUGGUUGUUCAAACACGUCAGAUAAAAAUACCUUGGAUGCCACUACCAUGUAGUUUAAAGUCUACUCUCUUCUCUUAGUUGAUUGUGUAGAAGAUGGAAAACCUUCCAUCCAUGGCAAAAAGAGGCACUUCUUGGUCUUAAUUUUUUUUUUUUUUUUACAAAUAUCAAUGCUAAGGCAAUAGUUUGUAGAUUUUACUUUCUUCCUCCUUUCUCCAAGCCUUGGUUUGGAGUUGGGUUGGAGAGAAUCCAAAGAUGUAUAUACUCAGAACAGCUCCGUUUUUGGUUUGUUCUUAUCCCCUGUAAGAUAUCUUUAGGAUUACAUCUAUUCAUAUGCACCCACAUAUAGUGGGAAGGGUGCUUGACCAGCAGUCAGGAGAAUGGGUUCUAAGCCUGUUUCUGCCUCUUGCCAGCAUCCAGGCCAUAGCACAGAGGCAGUACCCUCUGAGCCACCUUUGCUUUUUCUCUAUCAUGAGGGUGAUUGUCACAACACUUCCCUGACACUGACAGGUACCACAUGUGAAAGCAUCUGUAAAACGGAGUUUCCUACAAACAGAAGAAAGGAAUGAUAUGAUCUUGAGCCUCCUACUUCACCUUUAACAGAAUGUAACUUCUUCUUAAAGGGCGGACAACCUGGAAUUCCCAGGUGGCCUAGCAGUUAAGGAUCUGGCACUGUCACUACUAUGGCUCAGGUCACUGCUGUGGUGCGGGUUCGAUCCCUGGCCCAGGAACUUCCAUAUGCCACAGCACAACCAAAAAAAAAAAAAA